Molecule: long non-coding RNA, 994 nt
Organism: Psammomys obesus (fat sand rat)
Lineage: Eukaryota; Metazoa; Chordata; Mammalia; Rodentia; Muridae
Exons: 4
Source: RefSeq, a predicted model, not a curated record
CUGACCCAGAACAGAAGCCACCCCGUGUUACCUGACUUCAUGCGAUCUGGGGGCCCACAACACCUAAGCCCUGGGAAAGAUCCUGAAGACACCGGGCUCCUUUAAAUUCCCCCAGCAUGACCUGGAGUUCCCUGCAAGGGGCCAAAGGUGCCAGGGCCUGUCCUUACGGAUAUUGAGACCUGCGAUUUGUCCCCAUGAAGACACAAGGCCGCUUGUGGAUGCCCUACAUCCACAGGGGUUGGUUGCAGCCUGACAGCCUGGAUUCUGGUAGCAGCUCAGCAGCCCCAGGAUCCCACGGAGGCCAGAGGCAUCAGAUCCCCUGGAGCUGGAGUGACCAGCAGUUGUGAAGCACCCAACAUGGGUUCUGGGACUCAAACCCAGGAUCCUGUCAGUUUGACUAGAUUGGCCGGUCAGCAAGUCCUAACAAUCCUCCCUCCUGUCUCAGCCUCACAGUGCUGGGAUUACAGGGUCCUGCCACUUUGGCCAGCUUUUCUCCUGAGUGUUGGGGAUCCUAACUCGGGUCCUCAUUGUUUUCAAGGCACUUCACUCACUGAGCCGUGUCUUCCACCCCUUAUUUAUUUGACUUACCUACUUAUGUACUUAUUUUAGUUUUUUUCAGCACAGGACUUCUCUGUAUAACCUUGGCUGACCUGGACUCACUUUGUAGACCAGGCUGGCCUUGAACUCACAGAGAUCAGGCUCCCUCUGCCUCCCUGAGUGCUGGGAUUACAGGCUUGCACAACCACACCCAGCCCUUAAUUAAAUAUACAUAUGUACCCUCUGCUGGGGCUAGGGAGAGAAGUCAACAGUUAAGAGCACUUGUUGCUCUUGGAGAAGACCUGGGUUCAACCCCCAGCACCCACAUGUUGGCUCACAACCAUCCCUAACUCCAAAAUCCUCCUCUGAUCCCCUCAGGCACUAGGUAUGCACGUGCUGGACGUACAUACAUGCAGGCAAAAUACUCAUACACAUAAAAUUAAAUAAACCAAUAAAU